RNAcentral lists this long non-coding RNA (874 nucleotides) under Oncorhynchus mykiss (rainbow trout). Its description in RNAcentral is "lncRNA (ENSOMYG00000048596.1)". The record is from RNAcentral. Lineage: Eukaryota; Metazoa; Chordata; Actinopteri; Salmoniformes; Salmonidae.
GAUUCUACAGGUCAGAGACGUGUUUUGUCUGAUUCUACAGGUCAGAGACGUGUUUUGUCUGAUUCUACAGGUCAGAGACGUGUUUUGUCUGAUUCUACAGGUCAGAGACGUGUUUUGUCUGAUUCUACAGGUCAGAGACGUGUUGUGUUAGCUGUCUGGUUCUACAGGUCAGAGAGACGUGUUGUGUUAGCUGUCUGAUUCUACAGGUCAGAGACGUGUUUUGUCUGCUGUCUGGUUCUAUAGGUCAGAGACGUGUUGUGUUAGCUGUCUGAUUCUACAGGUCAGAGAAGUGUUUUGUCUGCUGUCUGGUUCUAUAGGUCAGAGACGUGUUGUGUUAGCUGUCUGAUUCUACAGGUCAGAGAGACGUGUUUUGUCUGAUUCUACAGGUCAGAGACGUGUUUUGUCUGAUUCUGCAGGUCAGAGAGACGUGUUUUGUCUGAUUCUACAGGUCAGAGACGUGUUUUGUCUGAUUCUACAGGUCAGAGACGUGUUUUGUCUGAUUUUACAGGUCAGAGACGUGUUUUGUUCGCUGUCUGAUUCUACAGGUCAGAGACGUGUUGUGUUAGCUGUCUGAUUCUACAGGUCAGAGAGACGUGUUGUGUUAGCUGUCUGAUUCUGCAGGUCAGAGAGACGUGUUUUGUCUGAUUCUACAGGUCAGAGACGUGUUUUGUCUGAUUCUACAGGUCAGAGACGUGUUUUGUCUGAUUCUACAGGUCAGAGAGACGUGUUUUGUCUGAUUCUACAGGUCAGAGAGACGUGUUUUGUUAGCAGAUUUUGAAGACCUCCUUGCUCACCUCCAAUUUACUCAUGUCAAAAAAUUGUAACGAUAACUCUUCUAUAUACAGGAAGUACCAUUACUGAGUCUAUAUACAGG